This 420-nucleotide ribosomal RNA is filed under the name uncultured bacterium. RNAcentral's name for it is "bacterial SSU rRNA". It matches the Rfam family "Bacterial small subunit ribosomal RNA", at positions 355 to 787 of the family's 1533-position model. The record is from RNAcentral.
UGGGGAAUAUUGGGCAAUGGGGGAAACCCUGACCCAGCAACGCCGCGUGAAGGAAGAAGGCCUUCGGGUUGUAAACUUCUUUUAUCCAGGAAGCGAAGGACGUGACGGUACCUGGAGAAAAAGCAACGGCUAACUACGUGCCAGCAGCCGCGGUAAUACGUAGGUUGCGAGCGUUGUCCGGAUUUACUGGGUGUAAAGGGCGUGUAGGCGGAGAAGCAAGUUGGGAGUGAAAUCUAUGGGCUCAACCCAUAAACUGCUCUCAAAACUGUUUCCCUUGAGUAUCGGAGAGGCAAGCGGAAUUCCUAGUGUAGCGGUGAAAUGCGUAGAUAUUAGGAGGAACACCAGUGGCGAAGGCGGCUUGCUGGACGACGACUGACGCUGAGGCGCGAAAGCGUGGGGAGCAAACAGGAUUAGAUACCC